This 373-nucleotide ribosomal RNA is filed under the name uncultured organism. Its description in RNAcentral is "bacterial SSU rRNA". It matches the Rfam family "Bacterial small subunit ribosomal RNA", at positions 526 to 896 of the family's 1533-position model. The record is from RNAcentral.
CGUAGGUGACAAGCGUUGUCCGGAUUUACUGGGCGUAAAGAGCGCGCAGGCGGUCGAUCAAGUCGAGUGUGAAAGCCCCCGGCUCAACUGGGGAGGGUCAUUCGAUACUGAUCGACUCGAAGGCAGGAGAGGGUAGUGGAAUUCCCCGGUGUAGUGGUGAAAUGCGUAGAUAUCGGGAGGAACACCAGUGGCGAAGGCGACUACCUGGCCUGUUCUUGACGCUGAGGCGCGAAAGCUAGGGGAGCAAACGGGAUUAGAUACCCCGGUAGUCCUAGCCGUAAACGAUGGACACUAGGUGUUGGUGGUGUCAACCCCGCCAGUGCCGAAGCUAACGCAUUAAGUGUCCCGCCUGGGGAGUACGGCCGCAAGGCUA